Molecule: ribosomal RNA, 901 nt
Filed under: Cryphonectria parasitica (chestnut blight fungus)
Lineage: Eukaryota; Fungi; Ascomycota; Sordariomycetes; Diaporthales; Cryphonectriaceae
Description: LSU rRNA
Rfam family: Eukaryotic large subunit ribosomal RNA
Source: RNAcentral
GCAUAUCAAUAAGCGGAGGAAAAGAAACCAACAGGGAUUGCCCUAGUAACGGCGAGUGAAGCGGCAACAGCUCAAAUUUGAAAUCUGGCUUCGGCCCGAGUUGUAAUUUGCAGAGGAUGUUUCUGGCGCGGUGCCUUCCGAGUUCCCUGGAACGGGACGCCACAGAGGGUGAGAGCCCCGUAUGGUUGGACACCAAGCCUGUGUGAAACUCCUUCGACGAGUCGAGUAGUUUGGGAAUGCUGCUCAAAAUGGGAGGUAAAUCUCUUCUAAAGCUAAAUACCGGCCAGAGACCGAUAGCGCACAAGUAGAGUGAUCGAAAGAUGAAAAGCACCUUGAAAAGGGGGUUAAACAGUACGUGAAAUUGUUGAAAGGGAAGCGCUUGUGACCAGACUUGCGCCGGGCGGUUCAUCCGGGGUUCUCCCCGGUGCACUCCGCCCGGCUCAGGCCAGCAUCGGUUUUCGUUGGGGGAUAAGAACGGCAGGAACGUGGCCCUCCUUCGGGUGGGUGUUAUAGCCUGCCGUACGAUACCCUGACGGGGACCGAGGUUCGCGCUCCGCAAGGAUGCUGGCGUAAUGGUCAUCAGCGACCCGUCUUGAAACACGGACCAAGGAGUCGUCCAUUAGAGCGAGCGUUUGGGUGUCAAACCCGCACGCGUAAUGAAAGUGAAAUUAGGUGAGAGCUUCGGCGCAUCAUCGACCGAUCCUGAUGUUCUCGGAUGGAUUUGAGUAAGAGUUUUAACGGACGGACCCGAAAGACAGUGAACUAUGCUUGUAUAGGGUGAAGCCAGAGGAAACUCUGGUGGAGGCUCGCAGCGGUUCUGACGUGCAAAUCGAUCGUCAAAUAUGAGCAUGGGGGCGAAAGACUAAUCGAACUGUCUAGUAGCUGGUUACCGCCGAAGUUU